RNAcentral lists this long non-coding RNA (385 nucleotides) under Neogale vison (American mink). RNAcentral describes it as "Neovison vison (American mink) lncRNA (ENSNVIG00000023971.1)". Lineage: Eukaryota; Metazoa; Chordata; Mammalia; Carnivora; Mustelidae. The record is from RNAcentral.
UCUUAACUAGUCAUGAUUUUCUGUUUUUCUAGAGGAGCAGAUUUUGAGACUUAGGGAGAGAAACUUUCCUAAGUUCGUGCAACUAAGUGGCAAAUGUUACUGGAACCAAAUUUGAUUCAGACCCUACCCUUUACACUUUCUCUUUGAGAUAAUAAUUUAAUACCAGUUCUCUUUAAGUCCAGUUGAAAGAAGAUCAUGAAAUGACCAAAUCCAGAUUGAUAGAUGAAGCGUAAAACAGGACCAGAUGCUGUGGUUUCCAGGAUGCAGUUGGCUUCCCAUGCUUUAUGACCUGGAGCACUUAUUGCUGCCCAUUCCUGAUGUGUCCACCAGAGAGCAGCCCCAUCCUUGAUACCCAUAGGAUUUGAGAACAUGGACACUGCAGGGG